UGGCUCAGUUGGUAGAGCAUGGUGUUUGCACACCAGGGUUGUGGGUUCGAUUCCCAC
This 57-nucleotide transfer RNA is filed under the name Salmo salar (Atlantic salmon). It matches the Rfam family "tRNA", at positions 8 to 63 of the family's 71-position model. Rfam says of the family: Transfer RNA (tRNA) molecules are approximately 80 nucleotides in length. Their secondary structure includes four short double-helical elements and three loops (D, anti-codon, and T loops). The record is from Rfam by way of RNAcentral. Lineage: Eukaryota; Metazoa; Chordata; Actinopteri; Salmoniformes; Salmonidae.